AGAAAGUUCUUUUGCAAGGUAUUGUAAAAAGCUAGGCAGUGGCUUGUGGGGAGUUGUUGAUGUGUCCCCGGAAACGUUGCCCCAAUUUCCAUCAAGAAACUUUCGAAGACGACCAUCAGGCUGUUUGAUUGAAGAAAUGCCAAAUGGAUGCUCUAAGGUUAUAUGGGUGGAACAUGUGGUGGUGGAUAACAGACUGGUUCAUCAUUUUUUUCAGCCGCUGGUCACUUCUGGUUUUGCAUUCUGUGCAAAACGUUGGGUUAACACUUUAAUUCAGCAUUUUCAGUGGUCUGCAACUGUAAGGGCUCCAAACAGUCCUACCGAUCGUGGCGGUAAUUAAUUAAUUAAAUCGCAAUUAAUUUGUUUCAUGCAUCGACUUGGAUUUAGAUGCACUAAUUAAAUAGCUAAGCUUUUUCCCCUUAUUUUGAAUAGUGAUUAUAGCACAACCUCAAAGAACAUUCUUCUUGAAGUUUUCGGAGAGAAUGGUAAAAAGCUUUUUCAUGGACAUCAGUGCUUCAAGAGAGAACAAAUGGAUGCCAUUUCCAGUGUCGGGUGCUGAUAUAAUGAUAUCGACAAAGAGUAGCAUAGAUGACCAUGGGAAGAUUCCAGGUACCACAACAGUGUUCGCUACUUCCGUCCACCUUCCAGUCCCAAGUAAACAAGUAUUUAGUUUACUUCGUGAUGUCAACUUUCGGAGACAGUGGGAUAUCUAUGGA
Long non-coding RNA from Prunus persica (peach), 713 nucleotides. RefSeq lists it as uncharacterized. The record is from RefSeq and is a predicted model, not a curated record. The transcript has 3 exons. NCBI's taxonomy places the organism in Eukaryota, Viridiplantae, Streptophyta, Magnoliopsida, Rosales, Rosaceae.